GAGUUUGAUCCUGGCUCAGAAUCAACGCUGGCGGCGUGCCUCAGACAUGCAAGUCGAACGCGAAAGGCUCCUUCGGGGGCCGAGUAGAGUGGCGCACGGGUGAGUAACACGUGGAUAAUUUGCCUUCGGGUGGGGAAUAACAACCGGAAACGGUUGCUAAUACCGCAUAAUGCAGCGGCAUCUAUGAUGACAGUUGUUAAAGCGGGGGAUCGUAAGACCUCGCGCCUGAAGAGAAGUCCGCGGCAGAUUAGCUAGUUGGUAGGGUAAUGGCCUACCAAGGCGACGAUCUGUAGCCGGCCUGAGAGGGCGGUCGGCCACACUGACACUGACAUACGGGUCAGACUCCUACGGGAGGCAGCAGUCGGGAAUUUUGGGCAAUGGGCGAAAGCCUGACCCAGCAACGCCGCGUGAAGGAUGAAGUUUCUCGGAAUGUAAACUUCACAAGAAUGGGAAGAAUAAGAGGGGGUUAAUACCCCUCUCGAUGACGGUACCAUUUGUAAGCUCCGGCUAACUCCGUGCCAGCAGCCGCGGUAAUACGGGGGGAGCAAGCGUUGUUCGGAUUUACUGGGCGUAAAGGGCGCGUAGGCGGCGCCGCAAGUCACUUGUGAAAUCUCCGGGCUCAACUCGGAACGGUCAAGUGAUACUGCGGUGCUAGAGUGCGGAAGGGGCAACUGGAAUUCUUGGUGUAGCGGUGAAAUGCGUAGAUAUCAAGAGGAACACCUGCGGCGAAGGCGGGUUGCUGGGCCGACACUGACGCUGAGGCGCGAAAGCUAGGGGAGCGAACGGGAUUAGAUACCCCGGUAGUCCUAGCCUUAAACGAUGAAUGCUUGGUGUCCGGAGUUAGAUAGUCUCCGGGUGCCGUCGCUAACGCUUUUAGCAUUCCGCCUGGGGAGUACGGUCGCAAGACUGAAACUCAAAGGAAUUGACGGGGACCCGCACAAGCGGUGGAGCAUGUGGUUUAAUUCGACGCAACGCGAAGAACCUUACCUAGCCUAGAAUGCUCCUGACAGCCCCAGAGAUGGGGUUUCUUGGGUAAAACCAAGCAGGAUGCAAGGUGCUGCAUGGCUGUCGUCAGCUCGUGUCGUGAGAUGUUGGGUUAAGUCCCGCAACGAGCGCAACCC
This 1121-nucleotide ribosomal RNA is filed under the name uncultured bacterium. RNAcentral's name for it is "bacterial SSU rRNA". It matches the Rfam family "Bacterial small subunit ribosomal RNA", at positions 9 to 1104 of the family's 1533-position model. The record is from RNAcentral.